This 250-nucleotide ribosomal RNA is filed under the name uncultured bacterium. RNAcentral describes it as "partial 16S ribosomal RNA". It matches the Rfam family "Bacterial small subunit ribosomal RNA", at positions 524 to 773 of the family's 1533-position model. The record is from RNAcentral.
UACGUAGGGGGCAAGCGUUAUCCGGAUUUAUUGGGCGUAAAGCGCGCGUAGGUGGGCUGUUAAGCGAGAUGUGAAAACCGGGGGCUCAACCCGCGGCCUGCAUCUCGAACUGGCAGCCUUGAGUCUGGUAGAGGGAAGUGGAAUUCCGAGUGUAGCGGUGAAAUGCGCAGAUAUUCGGAAGAACACCAGUGGCGAAGGCGGCUUCCUGGGCCACGACUGACACUGAGGCGCGAAAGCUAGGGGAGCGAAC